This 253-nucleotide ribosomal RNA is filed under the name uncultured bacterium. RNAcentral describes it as "partial 16S ribosomal RNA". It matches the Rfam family "Archaeal small subunit ribosomal RNA", at positions 474 to 727 of the family's 1478-position model. The record is from RNAcentral.
UACCAGCACCCCGAGUGGUCGGGACGAUUAUUGGGCCUAAAGCAUCCGUAGCCGGUUUUACAAGUCCUCCGUUAAAUCCAGCUGCUUAACAGAUGGGCUGCGGAGGAUACUAUAAGACUAGGAGGCAGGAGAGGCAAGCGGUACUCAGUGGGUAGGGGUAAAAUCCGUUGAUCCAUUAAAGACCACCAGUGGCGAAGGCGGCUUGCCAGAAUGCGCUCGACGGUGAGGGAUGAAAGCUGGGGGAGCAAACCGG